This 468-nucleotide ribosomal RNA is filed under the name uncultured bacterium. RNAcentral's name for it is "partial 16S ribosomal RNA". It matches the Rfam family "Bacterial small subunit ribosomal RNA", at positions 28 to 507 of the family's 1533-position model. The record is from RNAcentral.
GACGAACGCUGGCGGUGUGCUUAACACAUGCAAGUCGAACGGUAAGGCCCUUUCGGGGGUACACGAGUGGCGAACGGGUGAGUAACACGUGAGUAACCUGCCCUCAUCUCUGGGAUAACAGUCGGAAACGGUUGCUAAUACUGGAUAUGAGCUUGCAAGGCAUCUUGUGGGUUGGAAAGAUUUUUUUUGGUUGGGGAUGGACUCGCGGCCUAUCAGCUUGUUGGUGAGGUAGUGGCUCACCAAGGCUUCGACGAGUAGCCGGCCUGAGAGGGCGACCGGCCACAUUGGGACUGAGAUACGGCCCAAACUCCUACGGGAGGCAGCAGUGGGGAAUAUUGCACAAUGGACGGAAGUCUGAUGCAGCAACGCCGCGUGCGGGAUGACGGCCUUCGGGUUGUAAACCGCUUUCAAUUGUGACGAAGCUUUUUUGUGACGGUAGCAGUAGAAGAAGCACCGGCUAACUACGUG